GUCGAACGAGAAGCUUGCGCUGGCAUUUCGGUGUGAAGCGUGGGUGGGGAGUGGCGAACGGGUGAGUAACACGUAGGUGACCUGCCCUGGAGAGGGGGACAACCAUUCGAAAGGAUGGCUAAUACCGCAUAGACCUGUUUAGAAGGGAUUGUAAGCGGGGAAAGCUCCGGCGCUCUGGGAGGGGCCUGCGUCCGAUUAGCUAGUUGGUGGGGUAAGAGCCCACCAAGGCGACGAUCGGUAGCUGGUCUGAGAGGACGAUCAGCCACACGGGAACUGAGACACGGUCCCGACUCCUACGGGGGGCAGCAGUGAGGAAUAUUGCACAAUGGGGGCAACCCUGAUGCAGCAACGCCGCGUGGAGGAUGAAGGCCUUUGGGUCGUAAACUCCUUUUCUGGGGGAAGAGGAAGGACGGUACCCCAGGAAUAAGUCACGGCUAACUACGUGCCAGCAGCCGCGGUAACACGUAGGUGGCAAGCGUUAUCCGGAAUUACUGGGCGUAAAGCGCACGCAGGCGGCUGCGCCAAGUCUGACGUGAAAGCUCCUGGCUUAACUGGGAGAGGUCGUUGGAACUGGCGGCCCUUUGUGGCAUGGAGGGGGGGGUGGAAUUCCCGGUGUAGUGGUGGAAUGCGUAGAUAUCGGGAGGAACACCAGUGGCGAAAGCGGCACCCUGGCAUUGUCCUGACGCUCAUGUGCGAAGCGUGGGUAGCGAACGGGAUUAGAUACCCCGGUAGUCCACGCCGUAACGAUGAACACUAGGUGUAGGUGGUAUCAAACCCAUUUGUGCGAGCAACGCGAUAAGUGUCGCUGG
RNAcentral lists this ribosomal RNA (809 nucleotides) under uncultured bacterium. RNAcentral describes it as "bacterial SSU rRNA". It matches the Rfam family "Bacterial small subunit ribosomal RNA", at positions 61 to 873 of the family's 1533-position model. The record is from RNAcentral.